RNAcentral lists this ribosomal RNA (494 nucleotides) under uncultured bacterium. RNAcentral's name for it is "partial 16S ribosomal RNA". It matches the Rfam family "Bacterial small subunit ribosomal RNA", at positions 28 to 507 of the family's 1533-position model. The record is from RNAcentral.
GACGAACGCUGGCGGCGUGCCUAAUACAUGCAAGUAGAACGCUGAAGGAGGAGCUUGCUCUUCUGGAUGAGUUGCGAACGGGUGAGUAACGCGUAGGUAACCUGCCUGGUAGCGGGGGUAAAUAUUUGGAACAAUUGGUUAUAACGCAUAAGGAUAGAUUUUUCCUGACAUUUACUUAAAAAGUGCCAUUGCAUCCCUAACAGGUGGACCUGCGUUGGAUUAGCUAGUUGGUGGGGUAACGGCUUACCAAGGCGACGAUACAUAGCCGACCUGAGAGGGUGAUCGGCCACACUGGGACUGAGACACGGCCCAGACUCCUACGGGAGGCAGCAGUAGGGAAUCUUCGGCAAUGGACGGAAGUCUGACCGAGCAACGCCGCGUGAGUGAAGAAGGUUGUCGGAUCGUAAAGCUCGGUUGUAAGAGAAGAACGAGUGUGAGAGUGGAAAGUUCACACUGUGACGGUAGCUUACCAGAAAGGGACGGCUAACUACGUG